GAGAAAUCAAGCCAUGUAGGGCAAUUGUGUACGAGUGUGAUUCCGUAUGUUGGGAUAACAUCAGAGUCAACACUCGUUUUAUUUUUGUGGUUGUGCGUGUUGUUUCAACAUUCAGCACAAUAUUUUGAUCCAGAAGAAGCAACACUAACAAGUGGUAUCAUAGCGGUCACUCGACACACUAAGUGUGAUCCUCGUUGUUAUCAAAACAGUUGCUUCAACAUGGAGUCCAAAAAUCUCGGAUUUAUGCAACCACCAAUUCUGGAUGGUGCAAAUUGCUCUUUCAAGAAGUACAAAUGCAGGGGGAGAACAUCCAUUUCGGGGGAGAUUUAAAGGCUUAUUGGUUUUGUGAAGAAAGGCAAAAAUGGGGGUUUGUUGGAGUUAAUUUUUAACUCAAGUAUUAUUUUGUUUUGCCUUUCAUCAUGUUUUUGCAGGCCUUAAAACAAAGUCAAAGUCAGUUCCUACAAGAUAGGAAACAUGGAGAAAUGAAGAGAAGGGGUUGAGAGAGUUAGUUCCUAAAAUCAUGGAUAAAACCCUAAACUACCUCAACCUCCACUACUCCACUUCUUGCAACCACGUUUUCAGCCUUGAAGAACAAGAUUGGAGUUGUCUAUAAAAGCUGAGGAAGUUCCCUCAGUCUGACCAGAGCUUACAGAGAGAAAUCAAGCCAUGUAGGGCAAUUGUGUACGAGUGUGAUUCCGUAUGUUGGGAUAACAUCAGAGUCAACACUCGUUUUAUUUUGUAAGGUUUCGGAGUAUUACUCUUGAACCGAGUUUUGUUUUUUUAGUGAGAGUGUCAUGUGUUAAAUACCUAGAGUCUUGUAAAGGUAUUGAACGUGAGUUGUUCAUUCUCGAUUUAGUCUUUUGCCAUGAGACAUCUUCAAGUUAUAAUUUAUAACUUGAAGAAUUUUUCCA
Salvia miltiorrhiza (redroot sage) is the source of this 911-nucleotide long non-coding RNA. RefSeq lists it as uncharacterized. The transcript is spliced from 2 exons. The record is from RefSeq and is a predicted model, not a curated record. NCBI's taxonomy places the organism in Eukaryota, Viridiplantae, Streptophyta, Magnoliopsida, Lamiales, Lamiaceae.